CAGGUAUAGAAGAUUCCUACUGGACAACUGAUGUAAUCAUUUCAGCACACAGUGAUAGCAUGAAAUGGUUUCAUCCAGAACAACUUCAAAGCUCCAAGCUGAGAGGGUCCAGCCUCACAGACUACUCCAGCCAGGACUUCAGAUUGUUGCCAAAAAAGAAGACUCAAGUAACCUCUUCACCUCCUGUGGAGGACAUUCUCACAGGGUAGCUGUCAUGUCCAGAUCCAUCAACACCACUGCCUUACCUCUGGGCAAAUGUCAUCCUUAUUUUUUUGUAUUCCUCUUUCAUUUGCUGUGGAGUGGAAAUUC
This is a long non-coding RNA of Peromyscus eremicus (cactus mouse), 309 nucleotides long. RefSeq lists it as uncharacterized. The record is from RefSeq and is a predicted model, not a curated record. NCBI's taxonomy places the organism in Eukaryota, Metazoa, Chordata, Mammalia, Rodentia, Cricetidae. The transcript is spliced from 3 exons.